GAUGAACGCUGGCGGCGUGCCUAAUACAUGCAAGUCGAGCGAACAGAUAAGGAGCUUGCUCCUUUGACGUUAGCGGCGGACGGGUGAGUAACACGUGGGUAACCUACCUAUAAGACUGGGAUAACUUCGGGAAACCGGAGCUAAUACCGGAUAAUAUUUCGAACCGCAUGGUUCGAUAGUGAAAGAUGGUUUUGCUAUCACUUAUAGAUGGACCCGCGCCGUAUUAGCUAGUUGGUAAGGUAACGGCUUACCAAGGCGACGAUACGUAGCCGACCUCAGAGGGUGAUCGGCCACACUGGAACUGAGACACGGUCCAGACUCCUACGGGAGGCAGCAGUAGGGAAUCUUCCGCAAUGGGCGAAAGCCUGACGGAGCAACGCCGCGUGAGUGAUGAAGGUCUUCGGAUCGUAAAACUCUGUUAUUAGGGAAGAACAUACGUGUAAGUAACUGUGCACGUCUUGACGGUACCUAAUCAGAAAGCCACGGCUAACUACGUG
Molecule: ribosomal RNA, 497 nt
Filed under: uncultured bacterium
Lineage: Bacteria
Description: partial 16S ribosomal RNA
Rfam family: Bacterial small subunit ribosomal RNA
Source: RNAcentral